AUGUUGUGAUCUGGGACCAGGAUAUAUUACCGACGGACUGGUUUCAUGACCCAAUGGACUAUGCCGCACCGAAGCCUGAAGUUCUAGAUCGCGACGUCACUGUUGACGAUAUAACCAAGUUCUAUGUAAACUAUAUGCAGAACGACCGUCUUCCACAAAUUGCUCUUGCACACCUAGCCUUGGCAGAUUAUAUGGAAGAGGGAGUUAAGAACGAGAAAUGCCUUCAACUCGCUGCCUUGCAUUCCGCAGCGGUUGAUUACAAUAAAUCAGGAAUACCAGUUAAACUGACGCGAGAUUUGAAACCAAGGAGGUGGCCUCACUUCAUGGAAAGGAAAAUGAGAAACAAAUACGCGGAGUAUGUUUCUCAAAAAAUUCUCGGACAAUUGUACGACAUGGCUAGCCACAUAGAUGUGCACUCAAAGCCACCGUUUUGGUCUCCUGUAGAAAGCCCAA
This 453-nucleotide small RNA is filed under the name Histoplasma ohiense. Its description in RNAcentral is "hypothetical lncRNA". The record is from RNAcentral. Lineage: Eukaryota; Fungi; Ascomycota; Eurotiomycetes; Onygenales; Ajellomycetaceae.